RNAcentral lists this ribosomal RNA (211 nucleotides) under uncultured bacterium. RNAcentral describes it as "partial 16S ribosomal RNA". It matches the Rfam family "Bacterial small subunit ribosomal RNA", at positions 524 to 734 of the family's 1533-position model. The record is from RNAcentral.
UACGUAGGGAGCAAGCGUUGUCCGGAAUCAUUGGGCGUAAAGCGCGCGUAGGUGGCCCUGUAAGUCCGUUGUGAAAGUCAAAGGCUCAACCUUUGAAAGCCGAUGGAUACUGCAGGGCUAGAGUACGGAAGAGGCGAGUGGAAUUCCUGGUGUAGCGGUGGAAUGCGCAGAUAUCAGGAGGAACACCGAUGGCGAAGGCAGGUCACUGGGC